GGGCGCGUAGCUCAGGGGUAGAGCGCUACACUGACACUGUAGAGGUCGGUGGUUCGAAACCACCCGUGCCUACCA
Molecule: transfer RNA, 75 nt
Filed under: Pseudomonadota bacterium
Lineage: Bacteria; Pseudomonadati; Pseudomonadota
Description: Proteobacteria bacterium (cold seep metagenome) tRNA-Val
Rfam family: tRNA
About the family: Transfer RNA (tRNA) molecules are approximately 80 nucleotides in length. Their secondary structure includes four short double-helical elements and three loops (D, anti-codon, and T loops).
Source: RNAcentral